This 262-nucleotide unclassified non-coding RNA is filed under the name Ascomycota sp. Its description in RNAcentral is "partial contains small subunit ribosomal RNA, internal transcribed spacer 1, and 5.8S ribosomal RNA". The stretch from base 1 to 47 matches the Rfam family "Eukaryotic small subunit ribosomal RNA", at positions 1785 to 1831 of the family's 1831-position model. Lineage: Eukaryota; Fungi; Ascomycota. The record is from RNAcentral.
AAAGUCGUAACAAGGUUUCCGUAGGUGAACCUGCGGAAGGAUCAUUAAUGAGUCUGCAGUUCUGCUCUCUGAGUAGGACUGCUUACUUUAUCUAUCUUAUGUUAUUUCUUGUUUUUGUUGCUUUGGCACUGCUACACUAUGUGGUUGUGUCAGAGGACUUGCUAACUCAUGGUAGUUCCUUUGUAAGAGGGAAGAGAAGUCAGUCUGAAUGUUAUAUCUAAUUGUAUAUACAAAACUUUCAACAACGGAUCUCUUGGUUCUG